GUGCAUGGUAGUCGUUAGUUCGGGUCAGGGGAUGUUGGGGUAUGUCCUGGAGCGCGCCCCACCCCCGUUCUUGGCUGCCAUCAUUCUGUUGCGCCCUCUAAGGUGGCUGCCGGUGACAAACCGGAGGGAGGUGGGGAUGACGUCAAAUCAUCAUGCCCCUUAUGACCUGGGCUACACACGUGCUACAAUGGACGGUACAAAGAGCUGCAAGACCGCGAGGGGGAGCUAAUCUCAUAAAACCGUUCUCAGUUCGGAUUGUAGGCUGCAACUCGCCUACAUGAAGCUGGAAUCGCUAGUAAUCGCGGAUCAGCAUGCCGCGGUGAAUACGUUCCCGGGCCUUGUACACACCGCCCGUCACACCACGAGAGUUUGUAACACCCGAAGUCGGGGGGGUAACCUUUUGGAGCCAGCCGCC
This 415-nucleotide ribosomal RNA is filed under the name Bacillus sp. (in: firmicutes). RNAcentral describes it as "bacterial SSU rRNA". It matches the Rfam family "Bacterial small subunit ribosomal RNA", at positions 1041 to 1457 of the family's 1533-position model. The record is from RNAcentral. Lineage: Bacteria; Bacillati; Bacillota; Bacilli; Caryophanales; Bacillaceae.